This 459-nucleotide ribosomal RNA is filed under the name uncultured bacterium. RNAcentral describes it as "partial 16S ribosomal RNA". It matches the Rfam family "Bacterial small subunit ribosomal RNA", at positions 338 to 795 of the family's 1533-position model. The record is from RNAcentral.
CCUACGGGAGGCAGCAGUGAGGAAUAUUGGUCAAUGGUCGGGAGACUGAACCAGCCAAGCCGCGUGAGGGAGGAAGGUACAGAGUAUCGUAAACCUCUUUUGUCAGGGAACAAAGGCGGGGACGUGUCCCCGGAUGAGUGUACCUGAAGAAAAAGCAUCGGCUAACUCCGUGCCAGCAGCCGCGGUAAUACGGAGGAUGCGAGCGUUAUCCGGAUUUAUUGGGUUUAAAGGGUGCGCAGGCGGACUGUAAAGUCCGCGGUAAAAGCCCGGGGCUCAACCCCGGCCCGCCGUUGAAACUGGCAGUCUCGAGUGGGAGAGAAGUAUGCGGAAUGCGCGGUGUAGCGGUGAAAUGCAUAGAUAUCGCGCAGAACUCCGAUUGCGAAGGCAGCAUGCCGGCGCCACACUGACGCUGAGGCACGAAAGCGUGGGUAUCGAACAGGAUUAGAUACCCUAGUAGUC